Long non-coding RNA from Equus caballus (horse), 3556 nucleotides. Lineage: Eukaryota; Metazoa; Chordata; Mammalia; Perissodactyla; Equidae. The record is from Ensembl.
UACUGGGAACAUCUCUUACAAAGGACUGCUAAACGCAGUUUCUUUCCAGCCCUGAUCUCCCUGAAGUAGAACUUCUGCUGGAUCGUGUCCUCCAUUGCCUUAGAGGUGCAAUGCACGAAGUCCUGCAUUCUUUCGUCAAGGGGAGACAUGACACAAACUGUCUUGCUUCCAGCUCUUUGCAAAGCUAAGAAACAACACCCUCUCCUCAGUGCUCUUACAGCCGAUCACAAACAGGUCUUACCAAGGCAUGUGAAAUGCAGUUUCUUCCAAGCCCUGAUCUCGCUGAAGUAGAACUUCUGCGGUGCCAUGUCCUACAUUGUCCUAGAGGUGGAAGGCAGAAAGCCCAGCCUUGUUUCCUCAAGAGGAGACAGGCCACAGAACGUCUUGCUUCCAGCUCUUUGGGAAGCUAUGAAACAACUCGCUCUCCACAGUGCUCUUAAAGCCUACCAGGAACAUCUCUCACAAAGGCUUGUGAAAAGCAGUUUAUUCCCAGCCCUGAUCUCGCUAAAGUAGAACUUUGGCUCUGCUGUAUCUUACAUUGCCCUAGAGGUGCAAGGCAAAAUGUCCUGCCUUGUUUCCUCAAGGGUAGGAAGGCCACAAAGCGUCUUGCUUCCAGUUCUUUGGGAAGCUAAGAAACAACUCCCUCUCCACAGUGCUCUGAGAGCCUACCGGGAACAUGUCUUACAAAGGCCUGUGAAACGCAGUUUCUUCCCAGCCCUGAUCUCAAUGAAGUAGAACUUCUGCUCUGCUGUGAAAUACAUUGCCCUAGAGGUGGAAGUCACAAUGGCCUGCCUGGCUUCCUGAAGACCAGACAGGCCACAGACCAUCUCCCUUCCAGCUCUUUGGCAAGGUGAGAAAGAACUUGCUUUCCACAGGGCUCUUACAGCCUACCGGGAAACUCUCAAACAAAGGCCUGAAUAGUAGUUGGUUUGCAGGCAUGAUCUCACUGCCUUGGAACUUCUGCUCUAAGCCAUGUCCCACAUUGCUCUAGAGAUGGAAGACACAAAGCACUGAGUCAGUGCCGCCAAAGGAGAAAAGCCAUAAACGUCCUUGCUUCCAGCUCUUUGGGAAGCUAAGAAACAACUCACUCUCCACAGUGCUCUUACGGCCUACCGGGAACAUCUCUCACAAAGGUCUGUGAAACACAGUUUCUUCCCAGCCAUGAUCUCGCUGAAGUAGAACUUCUGUUCUGCCUUGUCCUACAUUGCCCUAGAUGUUCAAGGCACAAUAUCCUGCCUGGUUACCUGAAAGGGAGGAAGACCACAAAGCGUCUUGCUUCCAGCUCUUUUGGAAGCUAAGAAACAAGGCACUCGCCACAGUGCUCUUACAGCUACCGGGAACAUCUCUCUCAAAGAUCUGUGAAACACAGUUUGUUCCCAUCCCUGAUCUCGCUGAAGUAGAACUUCUCCUCUGCCAGUCCUACAUUGCCCUAGAGGUGCAACACACAACGUCCUGCCUCGUUUCCUCAAGGGGAGACAGUCCACAAAGCGUCUUGCAUCCAGCUCUUUGGGAAGCUAAGAAACAUGUCGCUAUCCACAGUGCUCUUACAGCCUACCUGGAGCAUCUCUCACAAAGGACUGUGAAACGCAGUUUCUUUCCAGCCCUGUUCUCACUGAAGAAGAACUUCUGCUCUGCUGUGUCCUACAUUGAACUAGAGGUGCAAGGCUCAAAAUCCUGCCUUGUUUCCUCAAGGGUAGACAGGCCACAAAGCGUCUUUCUUCCAGGUCUUUGGGAAGGUAAGAAACAACUCGCUCUCCACAGUGCUCUUACAGCCUACCGGGAACAUGUCUCACAAAGGCUUGUGAAACGCAGUUUCUUCCCAGCCCUGAUCUCGCUGAAGAAGAACUUCUGCUCUGCCAUGUAAUACAUUGCCAUAGAGGUGGAAGUCACGAAGCCCUGCCUGGCUUCCUUAAGAGGUGAGAGGCCACAGACGGUCUUGUUUCCAGCUCUUUCCAAGGGGAGAAAGCACUCUCUUUCCCCAUGGCUCCUACAGCCUACAGGGUACCUCUGAUACAAAGAGCUGACACCCAGUUUGUUUCCAGCCCUGAUCUCACCGCCUGGGAACCUCUGCUCCAAGCCAUGAUCUACAUUGCUCUAGAGGUUUAAGUCACAAUGAGCUGAGUCAUUGCCACCAAAGGAGACAAGAAACAAACGGUCUUGCUUCCAGCCCUUUGGCAAGCUAAGAAACAACUGGCUCUCCACAGUGCUCUUACAGCCUACUGGUAACAACUCUUACAAAGGCGUGUGAAACGCAGUUUCUUUCCAGCCCUGAUCUCGCUGAAGUAGAACCUCUACUCUGCCGUGUAAUUCUUUGCCCUAUAGGUGGAAGUCACAAUGUCCUGCCAGGCUUCCUCAAGAGGAGACAGGCCAAAGACCGUCUCGCAUCCAGCUCUUUGGCAAGUGCACUUACAGCCUUCAGGGAACAUCUCUUACAAAGGCCUGUGAAACGCAGUUUCUUCCCAGCCCUGAUCUCGCUGAAGUAGAACUUCUGCUCUGCCGUGUAGUGCAUUGCCCUAGAGGUGGAACUCACAAAGCCCUGCAUGGCUUCCUUAAGAGGAGACAGGCCACAGACCGUCUUGCUUCCAGCUCUUUCCCAAGGUGAGAAAGAACUCGCUUUCCCCUGGGCUCUUAGAGCCUAUCGGAAACGUCUGAUACAAAGACCAGAAAUGCAGUUUGUUUCCUGCCCAGUUCUCUCGGCCUUGGACUUCUACUCGAAGCCAUGUCCUACAUUGCUAUAGAGGUGGAAGUGAGAAAGCUAUGAGUCAUUGCCUCCAAAGGAGACAAACCACAAACUGUCUUGCUUCCAGCCCUUUUGAAAGCUACGAAACAACUCUCUCUCCACAGUGCUCUUAAAGCCUACCGGGAACAUCUCUUACAAAGGCCUGUGAAACACAGUUCUUGCCAGCCCUGACCGCGCUGAAGUAGAACUUCUGCUCUGCCGUGUUCUACAUUGCUCUAGAGGUGGAAGUGAGAAAGCUAUGAGUCAUUGCCUCCAAAGGAGACAAGACACAAACGGUCUUUCUUCCAGCUCUAGGAAGCUAAGAAACAAGUGGCUCUCCAUCUUGCUCUUAUAGCCUACUGGGAACAUCACUUACAAAGACCUGUGAAACGCAGUUUCUUUCCAGCCCUGAUAUCCCUGAAGUAGAACUUCUGCCCUGCCAUGUCCUACAUUUCCCUAGAGAUCCAAGGCACAAAGUAUUGCCUUGUUUUCUCAAGGGAAGAGAGGCCACAAAGCUUCUUCCUUCGAGAUCUUUGGGAAGAUAAGAAACAACUUGGUCUCCACACUGCUCUUAAAGCCUACCGGGAACAUCUCUUACAAAUGCCUGUGAAAUGCAGCUUCUUCCCAGCCCUGAUCUCGCUGAAGUAGAACUUCUGCUCUGCCGUGUAAUAUAUUUCCCUAGAGUUGGAAGUCACAAAGUCCUGCCUGGCUCCCUUAGGAUGAGACAGGCCGCAGACCGUCUUGCUUCCAGCUCUUUGGCAAGUUGAGAAAGAACUCGAUUUCCACAGGGCUCUUACAGCCUACCGGGAACGUCUCAUACAAAGGCCUGAAAUGCAG